Frankliniella occidentalis (western flower thrips) is the source of this 1171-nucleotide long non-coding RNA. RefSeq lists it as uncharacterized. The record is from RefSeq and is a predicted model, not a curated record. Lineage: Eukaryota; Metazoa; Arthropoda; Insecta; Thysanoptera; Thripidae. The transcript has 3 exons.
ACGGAAACCCCAUCGUUCGUCUACAACGAGUGCUGGCAAAAAUGGGGAGCUGACCCCAGACUGCCGAGACCAGGACCCCUGCAAACUCUUCAUGACCUGAGUAGCAAGAUGAAAAGAAGAGAUGACCUUCACAAGGAUGAACAUUUGGAUUUUUUUGAGGAGAGGAAGAGGCAAGAGGGUGGUGAAAUAUUCGAUUACGAUAGGCCAAGUUUAUUUCAGUACGCUUGGUCGUCGGAAAAACAAAUGGCAUUGCUGGAUGAACAGGCAUCAGGCGGAACGGCUUAUCUGGAUAGCACAGGCGGUUUUAUCAGGAACGCACCGCCUGGGCGAGAAGGGGAACUGCCCCGCCCCGUGUUCUACGCUGCGCAGGGGCGCCGGAAGUGGGGGGCAGGGGGGGCCAAAUGCCCCCCCUGAAUCGGCUGCGGGCCCUUUCGGCCCGCGAAGCGGGCCCUCUCUUAGCCUGCGAAGCGGGCCCUUUGGGUGCUUUUGGGCCUCCGAAACGGGACUGAUCAAACGACAAGAGAGAAGCGAAAACUUGGAAAAGGGGCCCCGCGAAGCACUGGAGGUGCCCUUAGGCAGACCCCAGUGGACGAGAAAAUGUCCAAGUCAUGUCAAGUCAAUUCACAAAUAUGAUGUCAUUUUAACGACAUUUGGAGUCAGAAUGAUGUCAAAAUGACCUCAAAUUGACUGAAAAUGACGUCAAAAUGACAUCAUAUUUGUGAAAUGACUUGACUUGACAAGACUUAGACUAUAUUUUGUCCACUGAGCAGUAAAAGCACUUAGAGAUAAAUUGCAAUUUAUUUGAAAUAUCAUUUUGAACACAACGUUGCAAAAAGCUGCAUUUUGGUCAUUUUUAAAAAGAUAAACGCUUUGCGAAUAACCGGGCCCUUUUGGAAAAAUCCGGGCCCUUUUGUUACUCCGCCCCCCCUGUAAAAUCAACUUCCGGCGCCCCUGACGCUGCGCUAACGGUGAAGCCAGUUGUCGGCCAUCACAGUGUUCCUGUGUCGCAGAUGAUGACAACUCCACAGAGUGCUGCGGCUUGCUGCAACUGGCUCCUACAUCUGAGGUGUCAGUGGAACCAAAAAUGGAGCGGGGCGGCGGGCCGCCUGUUUAAGACCGUCGUGAUUGAUGACAGCUGGGCUUAUAUACACUCGGUACUUAUCUGCUUCAA